Molecule: ribosomal RNA, 440 nt
Filed under: uncultured bacterium
Lineage: Bacteria
Description: partial 16S ribosomal RNA
Rfam family: Bacterial small subunit ribosomal RNA
Source: RNAcentral
CCUACGGGGGGCAGCAGUGGGGAAUAUUGCACAAUGGGGGAAACCCUGAUGCAGCAACGCCGCGUGAGUGAUGACGGCCUUCGGGUUGUAAAGCUCUAUCUUCAGGGAAGAUAAUGACGGUACCUGAGGAGGAAGCCACGGCUAACUACGUGCCAGCAGCCGCGGUAAUACGUAGGGGGCAAGCGUUGUCCGGAUUUACUGGGCGUAAAGGGAGCGUAGGCGGACGUUUAAGUGUGAUGUGAAAGACUUGGGCUCAACUUGGGUGCUGCAUUUGAAACUGGACGUCUAGAGUGCAGGAGAGGAGAAUGGAAUUCCUAGUGUAGCGGUGAAAUGCGUAGAGAUUAGGAAGAACACCAGUGGCGAAGGCGAUUCUCUGGACUGUAACUGACGUUGAGGCUCGAAAGCGUGGGGAGCAAACAGGAUUAGAUACCCCUGUAGUC